UACGGGGGGAGCAAGCGUUGUUCGGAUUUACUGGGCGUAAAGGGCGCGUAGGCGGUAGCACAAGUCAGUUGUGAAAUCUCCGGGCUUAGCUCGGAAAGGUCAACUGAUACUGUGCGACUAGAGUGCAGAAGGGGCAACUGGAAUUCUCGGUGUAGCGGUGAAAUGCGUAGAUAUCGAGAGGAACACCUGCGGCGAAGGCGGGUUGCUGGGCUGACACUGACGCUGAGGCGCGAAAGCCAGGGGAGCGAACGGG
Molecule: ribosomal RNA, 253 nt
Filed under: uncultured bacterium
Lineage: Bacteria
Description: partial 16S ribosomal RNA
Rfam family: Bacterial small subunit ribosomal RNA
Source: RNAcentral